This 253-nucleotide ribosomal RNA is filed under the name uncultured bacterium. RNAcentral's name for it is "partial 16S ribosomal RNA". It matches the Rfam family "Bacterial small subunit ribosomal RNA", at positions 524 to 776 of the family's 1533-position model. The record is from RNAcentral.
UACAGAGGGCAAAAGCGUUAAUCGGAAUCACUGGGCUUAAAGGGUGCGUAGGCGGUCCCGCAAGUGCUUUGUGAAAUCCCAUCGCUCAACGAUGGAAUGGCUCGGCAUAAUGCGGGACUUGAGGUCGGUAGAGGUCGUCGGAACAGUAGGUGGAGCGGUGAAAUGCGUAGAUAUCUACUGGAACGCCAAAGGUGAAGACAGGCGACUGGGCCGAUUCUGACGCUGAGGCACGAAAGCGUGGGGAGCGAUCGGG